This 244-nucleotide ribosomal RNA is filed under the name uncultured bacterium. Its description in RNAcentral is "partial 16S ribosomal RNA". It matches the Rfam family "Bacterial small subunit ribosomal RNA", at positions 15 to 254 of the family's 1533-position model. The record is from RNAcentral.
GAUCCUGGCUCAGGACGAACGCUGGCGGCGCGCCUAACACAUGCAAGUCGAACGAGCGAGAGAGAGCUUGCUUCCUCGAGCGAGUGGCGAACGGGUGAGUAACGCGUGAGGAACCUACCUCAAAGAGGGGGACAACAGUUGGAAACGACUGCUAAUACCGCAUAAGCCCACGACCCGGCAUCGGGAAGAGGGAAAAGGAGCAAUCCGCUUUGAGAUGGCCUCGCGUCCGAUUAGCUAGUUGGUG